This is a non-coding RNA of Paramuricea clavata, 1053 nucleotides long. The record is from the annotation of a GenBank genome assembly. Lineage: Eukaryota; Metazoa; Cnidaria; Anthozoa; Malacalcyonacea; Plexauridae.
GUGCGAUAAUGACAUUUAGAUUAUAUGCUCAAUUACAUCAAAUGUGUUUUAUUAAAAUGUUUAGUUUCAGACUCCGUUUACACUAGAGCGAAAGAUUUCGGAUUCGCAAAAGUUUCCGGAUUUCAUUGGAAUUUGAGUUUUCGGAUUUGUGGCGUUUACACUAAAGCGGUAACAAGAAAGUUAUCGGAUUCGUCCGUUUACACACAAUCGGAAUUUUCUCAUUCUUGUUGUGCGUCUUUCAAGCAGAGGUCGAAGAUCAUCGCAGAGUUUUUCGAAGUUACAAAGCGACAUCCGAAAGUUAUCUUUCCAAUCGCUAUCUAAACAAACACCGUUUAGCAUAUUGUCCCACCAAGAAGAUGUUCUCCCUGGUUUUAUCCAAAAUCGUCGAGGUCUUCGGUUUUGCCACUUUCUUCGUUUUCGUACCAGUUUUGCAGAAAUUAAAAUAUCAUUCUGCAAUAACUUUCGCCUUCUUAAAAAUAUACCAGUGGCCAUUACAAAAUUUACAAUACUUCCUUGUAAUAAAAUUAAACAACAAACCAAAGACAACAAAACAAUAACGUUCCCCAUGUUGGUUCUAUGGUAAAACCGCAAACUCGUGGAUUAAUUCAAAUUUCUUGCGGAUUAAUCUUGCGGAUUAAUUCAAAUUUCUGUUUAGAACCAUUUACACAUAGAAUUGUCUCGGAUUAAAAUGUUUCCGGAUACAAAGUUUCUACUUUUUUUCCCGGAUUCAAGGUUUUCGGAUACAUUCUACAACCUAGAUGAUUUUCCACCGGAUUCGUCGCUGUAUGUGUAAACACAUGUAUGAAUCCGAUGCCAAAACGUUUCGGUCUUGUGAUGAAUCCGGAAUCUUUCGCUCUAGUGUAAACGGGAUAUCUCAGUGAAAGUAAAUAUCUAGUGUAAUAGAGUUCAUAAUAGGUGCAGAAGAGUUCUACGUUAACCAAGGGGCCGGAGCAAAAAAUUUGUCUUAAAUCUUUAUGGAGGGGGGGGGGGUGUAAAUAAAUGAUCAAAUAGUAAUUUUCCCAUUUUCCACACCCUCCCCCUUACCAUAAAUAA